This is a long non-coding RNA of Carassius carassius (crucian carp), 408 nucleotides long. RefSeq lists it as uncharacterized. Lineage: Eukaryota; Metazoa; Chordata; Actinopteri; Cypriniformes; Cyprinidae. The record is from RefSeq and is a predicted model, not a curated record. The transcript has 5 exons.
GAAUGUAUGACUAAUGUCAAUAAUACACGGAACAAAAAUACCGUCGAACCGCUUUGAGCGGUCCGUGCCUCAAAUCUGUCCCCCGUGCGUCACGUGUGAAAGACAGACUUUCACUUAUAUCAACAAAUAUGCCGAAGGCAGCGACAGUGAAGGGACAGGUGGAGAAGACUGUUCACCCAUUCAGCAGAAAAGCGCUUCGUUUCUACUUCACUUUUACAUUUAUUCACUAAAAUUUUACUUUUUAUGCUUUUACGCCUGUAAAAGGAAUAUGUCUUCAAAUCACUUCUGGGUUAAAGGGUGAAAAGGGACAGCGGCUAAAUUUGAUUGGUACCUUCACCGGUUUGACAGAGAGAAAGAGCUCAUUAUGAAGGCUAUGGCUUUGAAAUCCCUGAUAUCAUCAACUUUAAG